CCCUGCCUUCCACACUAGAAGGAAGAAAAAACCUCACUGAAGUCAAAGGAAAUGUCUAGCUAAAAAGACUAGCAUUGUCCCAUGCUGCAAAACUUCUCUGCUGGUAUUAGAUCAUUCAGUGGAAAAUUAGGUGCAAACCUAGGUUGUUUAUUGAACUAAAGGCAUACAUUUGCUAAAGACAGCUCUCUAUUCUUACAAAGGUAUCAACUGCUUCUAUCAUCAUAGGAUUUCCCACUUUUCUUUACCACUGGGGAAGGAAGAGAUCCAAAGUGGAGAAAGAAAAGCUGUCUGAGCAUAUGCAGAACUUCCCUGAACAGCAGUGGCUUUUUGUGCUUCUACCAGAAAAAUUAUUAUGACUAUAAAAACAUCUACAGGCAGAGCUGAUACAAGCAAAAUGGGUCUUAACUUUGAGGACCCAGUUGUCCACUAAGCAGCAUCAUUCCCUUGAACCCUGUGUCUACAAAGUCCCAUCUACAUCAGGGCGUCUAAACAGGUUGACCUUCAUGGAGCACACAGUAGAUUCAUAGAUUAAAAUGGCCAUGAGGAAAUUUCACUACACCAUAGAAUUUGGUGGACUUGAAAAUAAAUUAGACAGUGUGGCAUGUUAGCAAAAGUUCUAAUUGUACAUACUUCCCAGAGAAGUAGUUAGGCCUUACAUUAACUCUGUUCCUCUCAGCAAUUGAGAUUCUUCUCCAUGUUAAAUAUUUCUUUUUUACUAUUUCUCUGUCCUCUUCAUCUAAACCUGUCUGCCCUCUCUUUCCCCAGAAAUUGCAAGAAUUGGAAGGCGCAGCGGUCCAGCUUCAGUAUCCAUUGAGAUCAAACCUAAAGAAAUGGACCCAUCUCUAUUCAAAAUGAAUUUCCUUUAUACAAAAACCACAAAGGAAACUGAAGCUACAUUUCUAAAUACUGAAAAGCAAAGAAUAAAAGCUCUGUGCCUUGUGAUCAGCAAGAAAAGACAGACAAAAAUGGAUCGUGGAAUUGGCUGAGGACCUAGCUGCAAGUCACAGCAAUGGCUUUCAAAAAUAAAGGCAGGCAAGGAAAGCAUCCUCCAAGC
RNAcentral lists this long non-coding RNA (1054 nucleotides) under Corvus moneduloides (New Caledonian crow). RNAcentral's name for it is "lncRNA (ENSCMUG00000019249.1)". Lineage: Eukaryota; Metazoa; Chordata; Aves; Passeriformes; Corvidae. The record is from RNAcentral.